AUUGAACGCUGGCGGAAUGCUUUACACAUGCAAGUCGAACGGCAGCAUAGGUGCUUGCACCUGAUGGCGAGUGGCGAACGGGUGAGUAAUAUAUCGGAACGUGCCCAGUCGCGGGGGAUAACGUAGCGAAAGCUACGCUAAUACCGCAUACGAUCUAUGGAUGAAAGCGGGGGACCUUCGGGCCUCGCGCGAUUGGAGCGGCCGAUAUCAGAUUAGGUAGUUGGUGAGGUAAAGGCUCACCAAGCCGACGAUCUGUAGCUGGUCUGAGAGGACGACCAGCCACACUGGGACUGAGACACGGCCCAGACUCCUACGGGAGGCAGCAGUGGGGAAUUUUGGACAAUGGACGCAAGUCUGAUCCAGCCAUUCCGCGUGCAGGACGAAGGCCUUCGGGUUGUAAACUGCUUUUGUACAGAACGAAAAGGUUUCUAUUAAUACUAGGGGCUCAUGACGGUACUGUAAGAAUAAGCACCGGCUAACUACGUGCCAGCCGCCGCGGUAA
RNAcentral lists this ribosomal RNA (502 nucleotides) under uncultured bacterium. RNAcentral's name for it is "partial 16S ribosomal RNA". It matches the Rfam family "Bacterial small subunit ribosomal RNA", at positions 30 to 523 of the family's 1533-position model. The record is from RNAcentral.